RNAcentral lists this ribosomal RNA (406 nucleotides) under uncultured bacterium. Its description in RNAcentral is "partial 16S ribosomal RNA". It matches the Rfam family "Bacterial small subunit ribosomal RNA", at positions 30 to 526 of the family's 1533-position model. The record is from RNAcentral.
AUUGAACGCUGGCGGCAGGCCUAACACAUGCAAGUCGGGCGCGCGGCGGACGGGUGAGUAAUGUAUGGGGAUCUGCCUGAUGGAGGGGUAUAACUACUGGAAACGGUAGCUAAUACCGCAUACCAUCAGAUGAACCCAUAUGGGAUUCGCUUGUAAGUAAGGUAACGGCUUACCUAGGCGACGACCCCUAGCUGGUCUGAGAGGAUGAUCAGCCACACUGGGUCUGAGCCACAGCCCCGGCGCCUACGGGAGGCGGCAUGGGGGCAUAUUGCACAAUGGGCGCAAGCCUGAUGCAGCCAUGCCGCGUGUAUGAAGAAGGCCUUCGGGUUGUAAAGUACUUUCAGUCGGGAGGCGUUACCGACAGAAGAAGCACCGGCUAACUCCGUGCCAGCAGCCGCGGUAAUUC